This 492-nucleotide ribosomal RNA is filed under the name uncultured bacterium. RNAcentral describes it as "partial 16S ribosomal RNA". It matches the Rfam family "Bacterial small subunit ribosomal RNA", at positions 29 to 507 of the family's 1533-position model. The record is from RNAcentral.
AGUGAACGCUGGCGGUAGGCCUAACACAUGCAAGUCGAACGGCAGCACAGUAAGAGCUUGCUCUUACGGGUGGCGAGUGGCGGACGGGUGAGGAAUACAUCGGAAUCUACUUUUUCGUGGGGGAUAACGUAGGGAAACUUACGCUAAUACCGCAUACGACCUACGGGUGGAAGCAGGGGAUCUUCGGACCUUGCGCGAUUGAAUGAGCCGAUGUCGGAUUAGCUAGUUGGCGGGGUAAAGGCCCACCAAGGCGACGAUCCGUAGCUGGUCUGAGAGGAUGAUCAGCCACACUGGAACUGAGACACGGUCCAGACUCCUACGGGAGGCAGCAGUGGGGAAUAUUGGACAAUGGGCGUAAGCCUGAUCCAGCCAUACCGCGUGGGUGAAGAAGGCCUUCGGGUUGUAAAGCCCUUUUGUUGGGAAAGAAAAGCAGCAGGUUAAUACCCCGCUGUUCUGACGGUACCCAAAGAAUAAGCACCGGCUAACUUCGUG